Molecule: ribosomal RNA, 1008 nt
Filed under: uncultured bacterium
Lineage: Bacteria
Description: bacterial SSU rRNA
Rfam family: Bacterial small subunit ribosomal RNA
Source: RNAcentral
GGAUGAACGCUGGCGGCGUGCCUAAGGCAUGCAAGUCGUGGGACAGGUUUUUUUGUAGCAAUACCGAGAAACACUGACCGGCAAACGGGAGAGUAACACAUUGAUAACUUACCUUCGAGACGGGGAUAGCUCGGCGAAAGCCGGAUUAAUACCCGAUAGACAUGGGGGGGCGUGAGGCCAUUCCCAUGUAAAACUUCGGUGCUCGGAGAGAGGUCUAUGUCUGAUUAGUUAGUUGGUGAGGUAAUGGCUCACCAAGACGAUGAUCAGUACCGGGCGUGAGAGCGUGACCCGGCUCACUGGGACUGAGAUACUGCCCAGACACCUACGGGUGGCUGCAGUCAGGAAUAUUCCGCAAUGCACGAAAGUGUGACGGAGCGACGCCGCGUGCAGGAAGAAGCCCUUCGGGGUGUAAACUGCUUUUAUAUGGGAAGAAUUUUUGACGGUACCAUAUGAAUAAGAGGUUGCAAACUCUGUGCCAGCAGCAGCGGUAAUACAGAGACCUCAAGCGUUAUCCGGAUUCAUUGGGCGUAAAGCGUCCGCAGGUGGUUUUUUAAGUUGGGAGUCAAAUCUUUGGGCUUAACCUAAAGACUGCUCUCAAUACUGGGAAACUUGAGACUGGGAGAGGUAUACGGAACUGUUGGUGUAGUAGUAAAAUGCGUUGAUAUCAACAGGAACACCAAAGGCGAAAGCAGUAUACUGGAACAGUUCUGACACUCAUGGACGAAAGCGUGGGGAGCGAAUGGGAUUAGAUACCCCAGUAGUCCACGCCCUAAACGAUGUGUACUAGGUAUUUGGAGUAUCGACCCUCUAAGUGCCGUUUAAAAAAGCUAACGCGUUAAGUACACCGCCUGGGGACUACGGCCGCAAGGUUAAAACUCAAAGGAAUAGACGGGACCCGCACAAGCAGAGGAUCAUGUGGGUUUAAUUCGAUGGUACGCGGCAAACCUCACCAAGGCUUGACAUGUAGCUGCAAGCUCUGGAAACAGGAGCCGCCUUCGAGGGCGCUAC